Molecule: ribosomal RNA, 581 nt
Filed under: Enterobacter cloacae
Lineage: Bacteria; Pseudomonadati; Pseudomonadota; Gammaproteobacteria; Enterobacterales; Enterobacteriaceae
Also listed under: 5 other names
Description: partial 23S ribosomal RNA
Rfam family: Bacterial large subunit ribosomal RNA
Source: RNAcentral
UGUAUAAUGGGUCAGCGACUUAUAUUCUGUAGCAAGGUUAACCGUAUAGGGGAGCCGAAGGGAAACCGAGUCUUAACUGGGCGUUAAGUUGCAGGGUAUAGACCCGAAACCCGGUGAUCUAGCCAUGGGCAGGUUGAAGGUUGGGUAACACUAACUGGAGGACCGAACCGACUAAUGUUGAAAAAUUAGCGGAUGACUUGUGGCUGGGGGUGAAAGGCCAAUCAAACCGGGAGAUAGCUGGUUCUCCCCGAAAGCUAUUUAGGUAGCGCCUCGUGAACUCAUCUUCGGGGGUAGAGCACUGUUUCGGCUAGGGGGCCAUCCCGGCUUACCAACCCGAUGCAAACUACGAAUACCGAAGAAUGUUAUCACGGGAGACACACGGCGGGUGCUAACGUCCGUCGUGAAGAGGGAAACAACCCAGACCGCCAGCUAAGGUCCCAAAGUCAUGGUUAAGUGGGAAACGAUGUGGGAAGGCACAGACAGCCAGGAUGUUGGCUUAGAAGCAGCCAUCAUUUAAAGAAAGCGUAAUAGCUCACUGGUCGAGUCGGCCUGCGCGGAAGAUGUAACGGGGCUAAACCAUG